CAUUGGGAUUUGCAUUUGUUUUCUUCUGCUUAUCAAUGUAAUUUCUCCUUCACAUUUCAUGCUAGCGAAAUUAUUACAAGUGUUUUUUCCCUGAAUGCUUCACCUCUUCAUAUGUGAUGUGAUUAUUAUCCAUAAUAUAGAAGUAGAAUCUGUUUUCUGUCAGUAUUAAAUUAAAGAAGUUUCUAGGCCCUAGUAGAUGUCCAUGGUAAAGAGACUAGAAUGUUCUUUGAUGCAUUCUCUUUGAGAAGAAGAUAUAUGCUUGAUACUACCAGGGGAAGAUGUAGAGCAGUGGUGCUGGCUUCAUCUGAACCCAGUACUUUCAACUAGGAGCAUAAUUUAUGUAUAAAAAUUCACUAAAAUUACAAUGAAUGAUCGGUCUGAAUCCAUAAUGUUUAAAAUACUAUGAUUUCAUUGCUAAGAACCUUAAAGGUUGAACUCAUAAAGUUUAGAUCCUGAAUCCGCCUCUGGAUACUACUGGUUGGCCGUAAUUUAGUUAGUAUGAAUUUUAGCUGCAUUAAGCAAUCACUUUUGAGCUUCAGCAACCCCAGUCGCCUCCCCAAUUUCUUCGCCUUAUCCCUUCUACUUCUUCCUUCCACUUUGAUUGGUUCCCUAUGAUUAGCGCAGGGAAUAAGAAAAGAAAAUACAGUUGGUUACUGUAAUAGAGGUAGUUUGAAGAUAUAUAUAGAUAGUUAGAAAGACGCUACAUUAAUGUUUAAUUAGAAUUACUAAGUGUUUUGAUGAUUCGUGGGAAUGCUAACAUUACUAAGACUAUAAGAAAAGUUUUUAACAUUGCUUUUGCACAUUAUGCAGUUGUAUGCUGUUGUAUGCUGUACAAUCUCACAUGUUCAUUACUUGUGUGCUCUUUGCAUUGGAACUGAUAUUCAGUGGUACUUUUGAAUGUUUACUGUCAAGCCACUUUUACUCCCUUUCUUCUUUUUUGAUUUCAUAUUUAUAGAUUCUUUUAUCUGUCAGUGUAUAUUUCUGUUUCGUUCAUGUAGUAAAUAUAGAUUCUUUUUCUGAGGUUGCAUGGCCGUAGUAAAUAAGUUUUUCUUUCAACACCAUUCUUCUGAUGUUACGAAAAUUUCUAUAAUGUGAUCAACAUAAUGCCAAUUAAAUAUCUUGAAUCGAUAACCAUCUUUCAGCUAACUUAGCCUCCUCCAUCCCUCGGGACCAACAAGGGGUAGUACAUGAAUAUUCACCUGUUGUCCAUCGGCUACGCCUUUCGAUAUGAUCUUAGGCCCUGAAUUUGCGGAGGAAUCCUUGCGCUUCGAGGGCAUUGGAUUCUCAUCGACGUUUGCGUUACUCAAGCUGACAUCUCGCUUCCGCUUCGUCUACCACCGCUCGUGCGGAGGCUUUUCUUUAAGGUGGGACGCUCCCCGACCGAUGUAUUUUUACAUCCCACCAUUUCAGCAGAUCGCUUAGCCCAUUCAUCUUCAGUGCAAGAGCGCUCAAUCAAUAAGCUGUUACACACUUUUUCAAGGGUAGUUGCUUCUAAGCAAACCUUCUUUCUACUUCAACAUCAACUUCGUUAGCUAACUAAUUGAUCCUCGCCCAUCUUUGGCUGCCUUUCAGGAGGAUUAUGUUGGACCUAUGUGAUCUUGUUACAACGUUCUUUUCUUUUUUUUUAAAAAAAAGAGAGAUUUCUGGUGAAAACUUCAAUCCUGGUUAGGCUCUUCUUGUUGGAGUAUCCUUGCUCAGAGGCUAAAGUGAAUUGAAUUCUCUCUUUUCUUUCGGGAGUGCCAAAGAACUGAAGUUCUGUUCUUAAGACUUUAAUCAUGUUUGAUUUUCAUGUUGAAUUUGCAUCAAAAUUGGCCUCCAGAUCAGACCUUUUUAUUUCUUAGAGGACUGUGUAAAUUUGUGAAGAUUUUGAAGACAUCUUGGAUAAGAAAUGAGAAUCAAGAUCUUAACAUCUUAGACUAUUGUGUGCUACAAAAGGGUAAUGUUAAUAGAAUAUAUUUUGAAACCAAAUUUUGAUUGUCUGAAUAUAUAGUGAAGAUCGCAUUGCUGAGAACUUGAACAUAAAAUAGCAUACAAGCCCCUUAGUAGCGAAUAUAGGAUGUAGUUUAUCUGGUUUAAGGUUGUCUUGAUCAGGGAAGAAAAGCACUUAAGAUUUAAGACCAAGUUGUCAUAUCUCUGUUUCUGGCUUUAUCUAUGUCUUAUGUAGGUGGUAUCCGUCCAUAAAGACAUCUUUCAUUAUCUGUUUGAAGUUUAAAGAUGUCGCUCUUAUUACCUUGCAGUGAUGGAUCUUCUAGGAGAGAAUGCUGCAAAACUCUUGAGUAGCUUGGAUGACCUUCCCGUUGGGAGUAUUUGUCACACUUGUAGGAUGCGAUCUUAUUAUGUGGUGUCAGGAACUAAGUUACUAUACUCAAUAUGUACAGGCUAUAUGGAUAUACGGUAAGCUUAAACUUUGAUGUACAAACCUUUUAAACUAUUGUGUUAUCUGCACAUUCUUGCAAGCUGGUUAUCAACUUGAAUAGGAGAACACAAUUCCAUGGAUGCAUCUGAUUUUGACUUUUGAAGAGGGCCCAUCGCUAGGAAAAUUGGCUGUGUCUGUAUGUCUUUGGCUUCAAUGUGAUAGUAAUAUAACUUUGGCUAGUUUUAAAUUAUUUAUUCUACCUACAUCAGGGUGAAGGUGUGAGAAUUCAGAAUAGUGUAUCUUGAAUGGAGUAAUAUUUAUUUGAACAUGAAGUAUUUUCUUUAUAUUGUUUUGUACCUCAAAAUUAGUGAAUGUGACUAAGUGUAGUUUGACUUUAUCUCUUGUCGCAAUUGUUUUUUUGACUGACUUAGCUACACAUUUUUACUAAGGAUGAAAGGACCGUUAUAUGCUUCCUCAACUUUCACUAUCUCCUACUUCCCCUUGAAUGUUCUAGGAUGCCUUGCCUUCCAUCCUGGAAAGCACCAAAAGCAAUUGUGCUCUCUUCCUUCACUUGCUGGGUUCAAGUUAUUUGAUUUUUUCCGAGUCCUGAUGCCAGGACAAGCCUGUUCAAUCCUAGGGAAUGUUGAGCAACAUCCUCGAGAUUGACUGUCAGGCUUUGGCUAAACAACUUCAGUUUCUACACUAAAAGAUAUCGUGAGGAUACUUAAAGAAAUUGUCAAAUCAACCGAGUUGCACCAUCUGAACGCAUAAGACUGACAUUCAUCACUAGGUUACAAAACUUUAUCUUAAUUCACACAGUCAUUUGAAACAUUUUCGUCUUGAGUAUGUCUUUUACGGUUUUACCCAAAAAAAUAAAAAAGAGGGACUAUAACUUCAUUAUACUAAUCAUUGUUUAUGCAAUGUUAUUAAAAGCGAAAAGACAAGGUAUAAGUGGGCUGAUGGAAUUGGGCUUUAGUUAGGCAAGGUCCAUAGAGAGGAACUCUAGGAUAAUAUCCCACCAUUUCAUAUCUCCAUCUCGUUCUGCUUACGAAUUCUAUCCUCAGAGCAGUGAGAACCUCUUCCGUUCGACAAAACCAUCCGAAAACAAACAAGAAAUCAUUUGAGCGCUUGAGUUGGUCCUCAUUUGCAACAGCAUGCAGAAAUGCUUCAGGCCUUCCUGCACCAAAGACAAAGGAUAAAACUUAAGAGAGUUUGCGGUAGUAAGGCUGGCACAAUUACUAAAAACUUUAGUUCGUCUGGGUAAAUCCUAAUAAACAUAAUCCACAAUGCUGUAGAAUGACAACAACAACAACAUACCUAGUGUAAUCCCACAAGUAGGGUCUGGGGAGGGUAGUGUAUAUGCAGACCUUACCCCUACCUUGUGAAGGAGAGAGGCUGUUUCAGUUAGGCUCUCAGCUCAAGAAAAGCAUAAUCACAACAGUUUUGGUUGUAAAAUGAAACCCAUAAAGUCUCAGUGGCAUAGUCUUCUUGAUACAUACUUGAUUUAGAGAACUCAUCUAUUUGACAAAAUAAAGAACUCAUUUUUGUUUUUGUUUUUGAAACCAGCAAAAUAAAGAACUUUUAGCUAUUCAAAAAGCAUAAAGAGACUUCUUAGACUAUCAAGUCGGUAGCAUAAUUUUUUAACAGUAUGAUAUAGAACCCCAAUAAUUAGAAACCAAAAAGCCCCUACAUAACGUGGCAGCUGCAGCAGCAUGUGUUGCAAGGACGUCCAGGCAGUUUCUUGAUUGACAGGGGUUCAGAAUCCAAGUUAGACGGGGGUUAGGUUAUUGGAAGCUUCUUACUUUAAAUGUACAGGAUCUUGCAGCAUUAUAAUUGACAUCUCCUAGUUUUCCUUCAGAGGACGAAGAUUUGCCUCAUCCUGACCGGUCUACAAAUCCUUAAGCUUAAGAACACAAGCACAAAAGGUGGCUUGUUCCUAUUUACCGUAUUCAUGUGUCUUGUUACUACAAGUGACCGAAAUCCUUUUCCAUUGGAUGAGUUGCUAAGUAAGGCAUGGCUUGGCUUCAGAAGCUAGACCCUUUUAUGGGGUUGCAAACAGGGCACACAAAGCUAUUAAAGCUUUGUCCAGAUGCAAGCCCUUACUGCAAAGUGCUAAGUGAGCUUCAUUCAAGAAAAUGUAGAAAUCAUGACUAGAAGUCCCUAUGUACCUCACAAGAUGUGCUUGAAAAUGGAUUUGAAACAAAGAGAUGUUUACUAACAAUCCUAUUUCCCCCAAAAUGUUAAAUAGAUUAACUCAUCAAUUGGAAAACUGGGAGACAACCAUAUGCUUUGUAUGACAUCCAUGAUCAAAGUUUCACCUGUAGGACUGCAGAUAUCGGUCACGUACGGCUGAAUUUCUGCUUAGUGUACAAGUGAAACUUUAAGUCAAUAUCCUUUUUUUUUUUUUUCAUUUUGUAGUAUAUGUAAGUUAAAUGCACCACCUAUGUUAUUAAAUGCAUCAUCUACUUUAUCUAACCAUCAGAUAUAUAUGACCUGAACUCUUUGCAUUUAUUUUACAUUGAGAAAGCUACUAAUAGAAAGUAAAUGAAUGUUUCAGCAGGUAAGUGCAAACUUUGGCUACAAAUAGCCUUUGUGCAUUACAUACAGAUUCAUAGCAAUAGUUGAGUGUGUUAUUUUGAAAAUGUCUGAUGAAACUGGAACCAGUAAACUCUAUGAAAAGAUUUAUGAAGAAGUUUGAGUCUUUGAAGGCUGAUUGGAAAUAAAUGAAACCAAAGUUUUCUGCUGAUCCUUCAUUCCAGGCAAGAUUGGAAAUUGAUAGGAAUAAGUUAGGCUUUGAAACCUCUUUCGACAGAAUGAUGCAACAGUUCGAUUCUUGAGGGAGUCUAUGAGGGCUGACUAUGGUAAGAUAGAAAGAGUUGUGCACUCUCUUCCUUUUUCUAUGGAUAAAAUAAAAAUCGAACAGAAGCAGUUGGAUGAUGAAUUCAAUCGUUUGAUGCGUGUUGUUAUGCAGCUUAGAGGUGUUUUUCCCGAUUCUCUAUGAUCAUCUCUGAUUUUGAUGAUAAUGCAAGAGUUAUCUCAGAUUCUGAUGAUGAAUUAAUUAGAGAAGUUGAUGAGUAUCACCGUCCGAGUUUUAUGCACUCUUCGUUUCUUAAAAAAUUAAAAGAAAGUCAUGAUCAUUGUUUGUGCUUUAGAUCUUGGUUCAGAAUUGAGUCCACCUCCUCUACUAUGCGAAAAAUAAAGUCAGUUUUAACUUUGUGGAGUGAUUUUCUUGAUGAUUCCAUAUAUGUAGGUCAUUGGUUCUCAUGUUUCAUCUGUCAUCAGUAUUUCACUAGUACACACUUUCAUUUUAAAGAACUAGUUUCAAAAGCACUGCCAGUAUGUUGAGGAACUAGCUACAUGGAGCUUGUUUUUCACAAGUAGAGGAACGUGUGACUAGUGAAACCGAUUCUAAUUGCUUCUCUUAAUGCAUGCAUUUGCAAAUUGAGCUUAUAACAAUGUAGAUAGUGUUGUUGCAAACUCUUGUUCCUUGACCGAUAGAAAGAUAUUAUAUUUAGGAUCACUUACUCCUCAGUAUUCACCAGGAGCUAUUACUAGGUAUAUGUUUGUGAAACUUACUGUGCUUUGCAGCAUGAAAGUGUAGAAUUUUUGUUGGUGUUCAUGGAAUGUAGUAUUUUUUAGGGUUGGAGAAGUCAAAUAUUCCUUGGAUGCAGACCAUUCCUCAGGAUUCACCCUCAUUUUCCUUUGAUGGGUGCCUGCCUUCUAGUUGGACCAUUCCUCUUUCUGAACUCAUCACUCUAAUCUCGGAAAUGAUAUUUCUGGAACACUUGUUCGUGGGAAAAACCUCUUUCGCUAUAGCGGUUUUUAUUGUGUAAGUAGAGGGUUAAAAACUUCAUAUGUAUGUGACUGCUGAACUGGAUUGAUGCUAUAUGCAUAGCAGUCUUGCCUCGCUAACUAGCCGUCCUCUUAUCCUUUUUCGUGCAUGUGUUCUUCAAGUGUCUGAUAGUGUUAUCUCUCUUGAUCAUCAGUUAUCGUUAUGAAAGGAGCUUUGUCAACAAAAUCGUACAUUUCUGGGAGCAUGCUGACCAAAGAAUAAAGUCACUCUAGCGAGAUCAAUUUACCCUACCAUCAAUUCUCAGACUUAUGGAUGCUCUAUCUUGAGAUUCACUUUGACAUGGUACCUCCGUGUGCUGGUAAAACCGUGAGUUUAGCUAAAGCAUGAUUAGCAUUUAUUCUUUCAACAGUAAGAUGGCAGUCC
Molecule: long non-coding RNA, 6572 nt
Filed under: Nicotiana tabacum (common tobacco)
Lineage: Eukaryota; Viridiplantae; Streptophyta; Magnoliopsida; Solanales; Solanaceae
Description: long non-coding RNA (NTAB_LNC004658)
Source: RNAcentral